This 405-nucleotide ribosomal RNA is filed under the name uncultured bacterium. RNAcentral describes it as "bacterial SSU rRNA". It matches the Rfam family "Bacterial small subunit ribosomal RNA", at positions 976 to 1381 of the family's 1533-position model. The record is from RNAcentral.
UAGCCUUGACAUACUACAGAAUUUGACAGAGAUGUUGAAGUGCCUUCGGGAGCUGUAAUACAGGUGCUGCACGGCUGUCGUCAGCUCGUGUCGUGAGAUGUUGGGUUAAGUCCCGCAACGAGCGCAACCCUCGUCCUUAGUUACUAACGGUUCGGCUGAGGACUCUAAGGAGACUGCCUUCGUAAGGAGGAGGAAGGUGAGGACGACGUCAAGUCCUCAUGGCCUUUAUGCCCAGGGCUACACACGUGCUACAAUGGCUGGCACAAAGAGUCGCGAGACCGCGAGGUGGAGCUAAUCUCAUAAAACCAGUCUCAGUUCGGAUUGGAGUCUGCAACUCGACUCCAUGAAGUUGGAAUCGCUAGUAAUCGUGAAUCAGCACGCCACGGUGAAUACGUUCCCGGGCCU